This is a small nucleolar RNA of Notamacropus eugenii (tammar wallaby), 105 nucleotides long. Ensembl annotates it as small nucleolar RNA, C/D box 124. Its record names the gene SNORD124. Lineage: Eukaryota; Metazoa; Chordata; Mammalia; Diprotodontia; Macropodidae. The record is from Ensembl.
AUAUUUCAAGGGAGGAAUGAUGCUCAAAGUGAAACCCCAAGAAAAGGAUCCUGAAUCCCAGGUCUGUGAUGGAGCUGCUGUCUUCCUGACCUUCCUUGAUUUGAA